CGUAGGUGACAAGCGUUGUCCGGAAUUAUUGGGCGUAAAGGGAGCGCAGGCGGUUGGAAUAGUCUGAUGUGAAAGCCCACGGCUUAACCGUGGAAUUGCAUUGGAAACUGUCCAACUUGAAUGCAGAAGAGGAAAGCGGAAUUCCAUGUGUAGCGGUGAAAUGCGUAGAUAUAUGGAGGAACACCAGUGGCGAAGGCGGCUUUCUGGUCUGUGAUUGACGCUGAGGCUCGAAAGCGUGGGAGCGACAGGAUU
This 252-nucleotide ribosomal RNA is filed under the name uncultured bacterium. Its description in RNAcentral is "partial 16S ribosomal RNA". It matches the Rfam family "Bacterial small subunit ribosomal RNA", at positions 526 to 779 of the family's 1533-position model. The record is from RNAcentral.